GAUGAAGAACGCAGCGAAAUGCGAUAAGUAGUGUGAAUUGCAGAAUUCAGUGAAUCAUCGAAUCUUUGAACGCACAUUGCGCCCCUUGGUAUUCCAUGGGGCAUGCCUGUUCGAGCGUCAUUUGUACCUUCAAGCUCUGCUUGGUGUUGGGUGUUUGUCUCGCCUCUGCGUGUAGACUCGCCUUAAAACAAUUGGCAGCCGGCGUAUUGAUUUCGGAGCGCAGUACAUCUCGCGUUUUGCACUCAUAACGACGACGUCCAAAAGUACAUUUUUACACUCUUGACCUCGGAUCAGGUAGGGAUACCCGCUGAACUUAAGCAUAUCAAUAAGCGGAGGA
This 337-nucleotide unclassified non-coding RNA is filed under the name soil metagenome. RNAcentral's name for it is "partial contains 5.8S ribosomal RNA, internal transcribed spacer 2, and large subunit ribosomal RNA". The stretch from base 1 to 120 matches the Rfam family "5.8S ribosomal RNA", at positions 35 to 154 of the family's 154-position model. The record is from RNAcentral.